RNAcentral lists this ribosomal RNA (468 nucleotides) under uncultured bacterium. RNAcentral's name for it is "partial 16S ribosomal RNA". It matches the Rfam family "Bacterial small subunit ribosomal RNA", at positions 28 to 507 of the family's 1533-position model. The record is from RNAcentral.
GACGAACGCUGGCGGCGUGCUUAACACAUGCAAGUCGAACGGAAAGGCCCUGCUUUUGUGGGGUGCUCGAGUGGCGAACGGGUGAGUAACACGUGAGUAACCUGCCCUUGACUUUGGGAUAACUUCAGGAAACUGGGGCUAAUACCGGAUAGGAGCUCCUGCUGCAUGGUGGGGGUUGGAAAGUUUCGGCGGUUGGGGAUGGACUCGCGGCUUAUCAGCUUGUUGGUGGGGUAGUGGCUUACCAAGGCUUUGACGGGUAGCCGGCCUGAGAGGGUGACCGGCCAAAUUGGGACUGAGAUAAGGCCCAGACUCCUACGGGAGGCAGCAGUGGGGAAUAUUGCACAAUGGGAGGAAGCCUGAUGCAGCAACGCCGCGUGCGGGAUGACGGCCUUCGGGUUGUAAACCGCUUUCGCCUGUGACGAAGCGUGAGUGACGGUAAUGGGUAAAGAAGCACCGGCUAACUACGUG